AAUAUGAAGGUCAGGCUGAAGACCUUACCCGAUUAGCUGAGAGGUGGUGCAUGGCCGUCGUCAGUUCGUACUGUGAAGCAUCCUGUUAAGUCAGGCAACGAGCGAGACCCACGCCCACAGUUGCCAGCGUACUCUCUGGAGUGACGGGUACACUGUGGGGACCGCCGCUGCUAAAGCGGAGGAAGGAAUGGGCAACGGUAGGUCAGUAUGCCCCGAAUAUCCCGGGCUACACGCGAGCUACAAUGGUUGGUACAAUGGGUAUCUACCCCGAAAGGGGACGGGAAUCUCCUAAAACCAAUCUUAGUUCGGAUUGAGGGCUGCAACUCGCCCUCAUGAAGCUGGAAUCCGUAGUAAUCGCGUUUCAACAGAACGCGGUGAAUACGUCCCUGCUCCUU
Molecule: ribosomal RNA, 395 nt
Filed under: uncultured Methanosaeta sp.
Lineage: Archaea; Methanobacteriati; Methanobacteriota; Methanomicrobia; Methanotrichales; Methanotrichaceae
Description: bacterial SSU rRNA
Rfam family: Archaeal small subunit ribosomal RNA
Source: RNAcentral